RNAcentral lists this ribosomal RNA (536 nucleotides) under uncultured Acidobacteriota bacterium. RNAcentral's name for it is "bacterial SSU rRNA". It matches the Rfam family "Bacterial small subunit ribosomal RNA", at positions 13 to 529 of the family's 1533-position model. Lineage: Bacteria; Pseudomonadati; Acidobacteriota. The record is from RNAcentral.
UUGAUCCUGGCUCAGAAUCAACGCUGGCGGCGUGCCUCAGACAUGCAAGUCGAACGCGAAAGGCCCCUUCGGGGGCCGAGUAGAGUGGCGCACGGGUGAUUAACACGUGGAUAAUUUGCCUUCGGGUGGGGAAUAACAACCGGAAACGGUUGCUAAUACCGCAUAAUGCAGCGGCAUCUAUGAUGACAGUUGUUAAAGCUGGGGAUCGUAAGACCUCGCGCCCGAAGAGAAGUCCGCGGCAGAUUAGCUUGUUGGUAGGGUAAUGGCCUACCAAGGCGACGAUCUGUAGCCGGCCUGAGUGGGCGGUCGGCCACACUGACACUGACAUACGGGUCAGACUCCUACGGGAUGCAGCAGUCGGGAAUUUUGGGCAAUGGGCGAAAGCCUGACCCAGCAACGUCGCGUGAAGGAUGAAGUUUUUCGGAAUGUAAACUUCACAAGAAUGGGAAUAAUAAGUUUGGGUUAAUACCCCUGACGAUGACGGUACCAUUUGUAAGCUUCGGCUAACUCCGUGCCAGCAGCCGCGGUAAUAAGGU